GUUUUAUAGCAAAGGUUCAAGGGUGGGGUUGCUGAGGAGAAUUGGGGUGUAUGCAGGGCUUGCACCCCUUUAAUCUGGCCUCAGAUGGCCUCCUGAUGAGCUUCUCUGGUUCUCAGGGUUAUCAAGCUGCGACCUUCUCUCUGGAGUGAAGAGUGCUCCAUCAAGCAGUUGACAUCUUCCAGUUGUUGGGGCUUUCACUCAGCAGCUCAAAGACAUUGUCAUCUGUGUCUCUUGAGCGGAACCAGGGCCCUGCUCUCGGGCUGCACUGCUGCUUUCUGAGUAUCCCCCGCCUUGCCUCCACACCCGUCCUCUUCCCUUGUCAGCAACUGUGCCAACCUGCCUCUGGAAUGAAAGGGAAGUCGAGAAGCGGGGGACUUGGAACGCUUUCGUGGCCAAGGGACCCAGGGGUCCUGCCCAGUUUCGGUGUUAACGCUCUUGCACAUUGCAUGGUUUUAGAAAAGAUGGAAAACAGUUAGGAGAAAACCUCCAAUGAGAAGACAGAAGGCUCAGAAAACUGAAGAAAACUUAUUUUGGUAAGGCAAAUAUUUCCAU
RNAcentral lists this long non-coding RNA (552 nucleotides) under Capra hircus (goat). RNAcentral describes it as "lncRNA (ENSCHIG00000006860.1)". The record is from RNAcentral. Lineage: Eukaryota; Metazoa; Chordata; Mammalia; Artiodactyla; Bovidae.